UGGGGAAUAUUGCACAAUGGGCGCAAGCCUGAUGCAGCAACGCCGCGUGGGGGAUGACGGCCUUCGGGCUGUAAACCUCUUUCACCAUCGACGAAGGUCCGGGUUUUCUCGGAUUGACGGUAGGUGGAGAAGAAGCACCGGCCAACUACGUGCCAGCAGCCGCGGUAAUACGUAGGGUGCGAGCGUUGUCCGGAAUUACUGGGCGUAAAGAGCUCGUAGGUGGUUUGUCGCGUUGUUCGUGAAAUCUCACGGCUUAACUGUGAGCGUGCGGGCGAUACGGGCAGACUAGAGUACUGCAGGGGAGACUGGAAUUCCUGGUGUAGCGGUGGAAUGCGCAGAUAUCAGGAGGAACACCGGUGGCGAAGGCGGGUCUCUGGGCAGUAACUGACGCUGAGGAGUGAAAGCGUGGGGAGCGAACAGGAUUAGAUACCCUGGUAGUCCACGCCGUAAACGGUGGGUACUAGGUGUGGGUUUCCUUCCUUGGGAUCCGUGCCGUAGCUAACGCAUUAAGUACCCCGCCUGGGGAGUACGGCCGCAAGGCUA
This 543-nucleotide ribosomal RNA is filed under the name uncultured bacterium. RNAcentral's name for it is "bacterial SSU rRNA". It matches the Rfam family "Bacterial small subunit ribosomal RNA", at positions 355 to 896 of the family's 1533-position model. The record is from RNAcentral.